Non-coding RNA from Ictidomys tridecemlineatus (thirteen-lined ground squirrel), 3455 nucleotides. The record is from RefSeq and is a predicted model, not a curated record. NCBI's taxonomy places the organism in Eukaryota, Metazoa, Chordata, Mammalia, Rodentia, Sciuridae.
AUUAGGAUUUUAUACCUCCUAAUGACAACAGUACAGGCCCUGGCUGUGCUGAGCAGAGGUCUCCCAGAGAAACAGCGGCUGUGCUCCGACGCCAGCAGGCGCCAGGCACUGCCGAGGCGGGGGACAGAAAUGAUUUGCAUCUGACUGUCGCCUGCCUGGAAGCCGGCCCUGCUGGAAGAGCCUCCAGCUCGGGAGAGCAGCACCAGGGAGGCAGGCGGCCCUCUUCACAGCCCAGCCCGGGCUCUGCAGAAAGCACACGAGCCUGUCCUCUCCUCUUGGAUUGGAAACCCUGCACAACCCAGAGUGGCCAUGGGACUAUGGGACAAGGAUGUCCCAGGAAGCAAGAAGAAGCAGGUUUGGUGCCCACUGUGGAGUUUACAAGCUGUGUGAGAGCAUCCUGAUUUCUGGGGAUUCUGGAGCCUCAGUCUCUUCAUCUACAAGAUGGGGAUAGUGGUGCCUCCCUUCCGGGGCAGAGGCACCCAGCAAGGCCGUGACAUCUGUAAGAGCCAGCACAGACAGCAUCAGCCUGUCAAAAGUGAGGAGCCUCUUGCUCCCUGACUCUCCUGGAGGCCAAGGUCAGCGCUCGCCUUCUCUGAAUCCCCUGAAGGCUGAGAACCAGGCUCUGACUGACUGUAGAUUAAUUAAUAUGGAGUCCAGGUCCCCACAAGGAUGUUUUUGGUUGUUUUAAAAAAAACUAGACAAUGAAAUGCUAUGUGUCACUUGUCAACAAAGCCCAGCAUAUUUCAGUGAAAUAAGCAUCUGAUUUUGGAAAAACUUAAUUAAAACUGCUGCUGGCGCUCAAGUGAUUUACACCAUCAUUCCCAGCCUCCGCCCGAAGAUUCCCUGGAGAGACACCAAUUAUCUCCUGGGGAUGUUGUGAAAUUUUCAAAAUACUCUAGUUCUAAACAACAUGAAUCUUUAAUACAUUUUAACUAUUUAAAAAAAAUCAGAUCACACAAAGCACUUUUUUCAGGAAAAAAAAAUUCCAAAGUUUGAAGAGAAGUAAAAUCGAAAAAAAAUAAAAAGACCCCAGCAGACAUGGGUCUGAACUCCAGGAUUUCAUCAGGUGCUGUGAGCCUACUAGGUGCUGUCACUGGGAAAAUCCCAGGCAAGUCACUAUCCCUUGGAUCUGGGAAGAAAUGGCUUUGUAGAUAGAGGAGGGAGCUGGGCCUUAGCUUGUCACCUCCACCAGCCUCUUGCAUGAAUCAGAACUGGCCCAGAGAGAAGCCUGCUGCUGAUCAUCCAUCAUCUGCUCACCUCCACCUCCUCUCCCGAGGCUACAGACAUGGUGGUGGUGGUGUUUCUGACCUCUCUUGUUCUUAGCAAGACUAUUGACUGGUCACCUACCACUCUGUCCUCCCUGGAGGCAAGUUCAAAAUUACAUCCAGUCCUGCACCACAAAAUGAAGUGUUAGUCCACACCGAGCCACAUCCGCAGCCGUGGUCCCUCAAGAUUAUAGUGGAGAUUUGUGCACAGUGGCUCAUGCCUGUAAUCCCAGGGGCUCAGGAAACAGAAACAGGAGGAUCAUGAGUUCAAAGCCAGCCUCAAAAAUGGCGAAGUGCUUAGCCACUCAGUGAGACCCUGUCUCUGAAUAGGACUGGGGAUGUGGCUCAGUGGUUGAGUCCCCAGUAGCCCCCUCCAAAAAAAAAAGAGAGAGAGAUUAUAAUGGAACUGCAACGUUUCUGCCAUCUGGGGCUGUCGUGACCAUUAUGGCACCACAGGGCAACAUGCCACUGACGUCUGUGGUGACAUUGGCAUAAGCACACCUGCUGAGCUGCAGGUCACAUAACCAGGCAGUCCCACGUGACAUAUCACCUGCAGUGGUGUACAGUACGUAACCUGGUCAGAUCACGGACGGCUGCUGGGUAUCUGCCGGGCUAGGUUUUUAUCGUCAUUUUAAAGCAUUCUCCUCCUUAUGUUUUUAAAAGGACAACUCUUUUAAAAGGCAGGUCCUUCAAGAGGUGCAUAAGAAUGUGUUGUCACCACAGGAGUGACAGCCCCGUGUGCGUCUCCUGGAGGCAUUCCAGUGGGCCAAGACAUGGAGGUGGAAGGUGGCGAUGUCAGGUCACGUGGGCUGAAGAGCGCGCGCGUGCGUGCGUGCGUGCGUGCGUGUGUGUGUGUUUGAAAAGUAAAGUAAUAAUAGGAAUAAUACUUAAUUUUAAAUAGUUGCACCGUGUGGCCCAGGAGUGGAGUGGGCUCUGCCUUCUAGGUUUGUGUAGGUACCAUCUGUGAGGUUCAGUGACAAAGUGGCCUCAGAAGGCGUCUCCCUCACUAACCAAGGCACAAUUGUGUCCACAUCCAUGAAAUACGGCCCGAUCCACAUGAACAAAUCCACCCCUGUGCUCAUUUAACAUUUAGGAGGUGGCCCUGGACUUCUCUGGGCCCAUGGCUCUGUGCCGUCAGAGGAGUGCGGAGCCCCGUGGUUACGGGAGACGGAGCCCUGCCCUCCUGGCUGCUGUGUAGCUGGCUGUCCUGCCCCUUUCCAGCUGUUCGGGCAGCAUUUUUCCUUUUGUGUUUUUUUCUAAUCUGACUUCAAGCCUCUCAGUGACCUGUUCCAUCUAGAUCCAUAACGUGUUUUGUGGGAUGAUGAAUGCUGCCCUCUGGUCAUCAUAUCUACAGCUAUGCCCAAGGCAGACAUCACUAAUCCAUCCCAGGAAGCCUUCCCUCUGAUCCAAGGGCUGGCCUCAGAACCACACUCAGCACAGUGCCCUAGUCAGCCACUACCAAUCGACCACAGACAGCAGGCAAGACGGGACAUGCUCACCAGGCCUGGGUGCAGCUGGGCUCUAAAACCUGUUGGGCCAUGAAGGGCUUAUGGGUUUGCUUGAGCCAUCUCAAGGACAGGGGCGGUGAUCUUCUGAGAACUCUCAGUGCAAUGCCACCGAUUCAAGACACUCAGUGUGUGCCGGCACCUGUCCAUCAGCUCAGACAGCCCACGGUCCAAACGCAGCAGCCCAGAAGUAGAGGAGAUGGGCGCUGAAGGGAAAGCAAGGAGCAAGAGACAGGUAAGUGAGAAAUGAGAGACCAGGCAGAGAUGCACAGAGGUUAUUUGUCAGAGUUAACAGAAAGGCCCUCUCUCCAUAGACGGGGAGGGCAACACAGGCUUGGGGUUCCAGGACUUCUGUGGGGGAGGCUCAGGAAUCAGAGCCUGUCGGGUCCUGUGUGGGCAGUUAAUGGUGGGGGUAAGAGGGGGUGGCCAGCCUUUCUCAGAAACACCCUCGGGGCUCUGCCUUGACUCUUAAUAUCGUCCAUGAGCCUGUGUGGUGGGCACCAGUGGUCCCCCUGGACAGGGGUGAAAACUGAGGAGUUUUCCUUGACCUCGUGUGUACACUCUCAAGACUGGAAAGCAAGAGGCUGGGGUUGUGGCUCAGUGGUAGAGCGCUCGUCUAGCACGUGUGAGGCCCUGGGUUCAGUCCUCAGCACCUCAUAAAAAUGAAUAAAUAAAAUAAAGAUGU